UCAGAUUUUUUUCUUUCACUGGUAGUCAGUAUUUUAAUUUUGGGUUUUGGAGUGUGUUACUGUGGCCGUGAAUCUCCUUGUCUUUUGUGAACUUUUUAAAGACAUUAUUACAGAGCAUAUUUCUUCAUCUCUCAUUUCUCAGUGCAUUUUCAGAUCAUUUAAGUAGUACAGUAAAUAAUACUGCUGCCUUGUAAAUUUUGCCACCCUGUUCUCUCCCUCCACCCUCUCCAUCAUGCUUUUCUGAUGAUCGAUGCCAUCUCACAGACCUCGGCUGUGCAGAGGAAAUCAUUCUGCUUCUCUGCAUUGUCUUCCUUAGCCUUUGUUGGUCACCUAAUUCAGCAAACUCAUCACUUCUCACACAAAAGAAGCUUCCUACUUUUGUUGUACUUAAGAAAUAUCUGGUUGUGAGAUCAUUGGAAAGCAUUUUGGAAAAAACACCUGUGAGUUUAAGAUAUGUACAGAACACAGCAAUGGAAAAACAUACUAAAGAGUCAACAGACAAAAUCAGUCAUAAUUUGCCAGUUUGUUUAAUUUUAUGUAUUGGUACAAGUCAUAGUGCCAGAUAUUUUCCUUUAAUUUUGCAGCACAGCUAUAAAUUUUGCUAUAUCUAAUUGCAGCAAACUUUUUCUGCUCAGCAAUUUUAUUUAUUCUUGCUGAGCAAGUAGUGUGUUUAUAUGAAAAAUACUUUUAUAUAUAAAUUUGGUUUAUGGAUGUUUAAGGGCUUACAAUUUUCCCUUUAAACUCGAGCUUAAUUUUUUAUGUGUUUUUUUUAAUGGAAAGAUUUUAUGGCCAACACAUGCCCCAUGAGAAAAGGAAGAAGUUACAGAUGGUCCAGAGUAGAGGGUCUGUUCCAUACAUAAAAACUUCAUGUCAGCAUUUCAACAGAGCAGUUUCUUAGGGUAUCUCUGUUAUCACUGACACUUUCACAUUGACAAGCAUAUGGGAUGUAGUGCUGAAUGUGUAAAUUGAAAUGAUCACAUCUAGCAUUUCUCUGUACCAGGUGCCAGCUUGCUGCUGCAGCUCUGCACUUAAUGUUGAAGGAGGAGUGCUAGGAAUAGUUGCAUUUGCUAAUUACCUCUUAUCUCCAGCACAUAGUCCUUGGGCAAACAGCUUACCCAGGUGUUUUUGAGAACACCUAUCUGGACAGUACAGGACUGCAGGUGGUCCUGUGGUGACAAUACAGAGUGCAGAACAUGUAAGAAAUCUCCAUCCAUCUGUGCACGAGGGUUUUUUUCUCUCUUU
Non-coding RNA from Sturnus vulgaris (Common starling), 1242 nucleotides. Lineage: Eukaryota; Metazoa; Chordata; Aves; Passeriformes; Sturnidae. The record is from RefSeq and is a predicted model, not a curated record.